UGCUAACAACGGUAAAAUAUGUAAUCUUUACCGCCAAUUUCUCCCCAAUUUUGGGUCCCUUUACUGCUGGAACAUGUCCAGUUGUGUAGUAUUUGGUUUAGAAGGCUUUAUUGGUGAUUUUUACCGUUUCUAAG
Molecule: long non-coding RNA, 134 nt
Organism: Etheostoma cragini (Arkansas darter)
Lineage: Eukaryota; Metazoa; Chordata; Actinopteri; Perciformes; Percidae
Exons: 3
Source: RefSeq, a predicted model, not a curated record